Molecule: small nuclear RNA, 85 nt
Filed under: Cervus elaphus hippelaphus
Lineage: Eukaryota; Metazoa; Chordata; Mammalia; Artiodactyla; Cervidae
Source: RNAcentral
UGCUUGCUCUGGUAGCACAUUCGCUAAGAUGUGAACCAGAGAAGACGGACAUAGCCCCCAUGCAAGGACAGGCAUGUUUAUGAGG